Molecule: long non-coding RNA, 220 nt
Filed under: Hordeum vulgare
Lineage: Eukaryota; Viridiplantae; Streptophyta; Magnoliopsida; Poales; Poaceae
Description: long non-coding RNA (HVUL_LNC008411)
Source: RNAcentral
GAGGCCGCCUCCACCAUCUACCACCGUACCCUCUCCAGAGCUAGAACAAACGCAUCAUCCUUGCGAGGUCUGCCGUCGACGCCACCACGGUGCCAGACAGCGCCACCAUCCUGCACGUGUCCGCCUACACGUGCCUGUCGACGAACCACCGCAGCGCCAUGCCGCCGGGCUACACCGUAUGGCUCACGGUAGACCAAACACCGCUCCUCCUCUUGUCCCG